This 433-nucleotide ribosomal RNA is filed under the name uncultured bacterium. RNAcentral describes it as "partial 16S ribosomal RNA". The stretch from base 20 to 302 matches the Rfam family "Bacterial small subunit ribosomal RNA", at positions 47 to 358 of the family's 1533-position model. The record is from RNAcentral.
AACGAACGCUGGCGGCAGGCCUAACACAUGCAAGUCGAGCGAGGACUUCGGUUCUAGCGGCGGACGGGUGAGUAACGCGUGGGAAUGUGCCCUUCUCUACGGAAUAGCCCUGGGAAACUGGGAGUAAUACCGGAUACGCCCUUUUGGGGAAGGGUUUAUCGGAGAAGGAUCAGCCGGCGUUGGAUUAGGUAGUUGGUGGGGUAAUGGCCUACCAAGCCGACGAUCCAUAGCUGGUUUGAGAGGAUGAUCAGCCACACUGGGACUGGGACACGGCCCGGACUGGUGGGGGAGGGGGGAGUGGGGGAUCGUGGGGGGGGGGGGGGGGGGGGAGGGAGGCAGGCGGGGGGAGGGGUGGAGGGGGGGGGGUUGGGGAGCGGGUUGAGCGGGGGAGAUAAUGACGGUACCAGCAGAAGAAGCCCCGGCUAACUCCGUG